RNAcentral lists this ribosomal RNA (900 nucleotides) under uncultured bacterium. RNAcentral's name for it is "bacterial SSU rRNA". It matches the Rfam family "Bacterial small subunit ribosomal RNA", at positions 1 to 893 of the family's 1533-position model. The record is from RNAcentral.
UAGAGUUUGAUCAUGGCUCAGGAUGAACGCUGGCGGCGUGCUUAACACAUGCAAGUCGAACGGAGUCAUCAUUUUUGAAGCAAUUAGCUUGCUAAGAGUGGAAAUGUUGAUGACUUAGUGGCGGACGGGUGAGUAACGCGUGGGUAACCUGCCAUAUACAGGGGGAUAACACUUAGAAAUAGGUGCUAAUACCGCAUAAGCGCACAGUAUUGCAUGAGACAGUGUGAAAAACUACGGUGGUAUAUGAUGGACCCGCGUCUGAUUAGCUGGUUGGUGAGGUAACGGCCCACCAAGGCGACGAUCAGUAGCCGGCCUGAGAGGGUGGACGGCCACAUUGGGACUGAGACACGGCCCAAACUCCUACGGGAGGCAGCAGUGGGGAAUAUUGGACAAUGGGGGAAACCCUGAUCCAGCGACGCCGCGUGAGUGAAGAAGUAUUUCGGUAUGUAAAGCUCUAUCAGCAGGGAAGAAAAAAUGACGGUACCUGACUAAGAAGCCCCGGCUAACUACGUGCCAGCAGCCGCGGUAAUACGUAGGGGGCAAGCGUUAUCCGGAUUUACUGGGUGUAAAGGGAGCGUAGACGGCAGGGCAAGCCUGAUGUGAAAGGUCGGGGCCCAACCCCGGGACUGCAUUGGAAACUGUCCGGCUGGAGUACAGGAGAGGUAAGUGGAAUUCCUAGUGUAGCGGUGAAAUGCGUAGAUAUUAGGAGGAACACCAGUGGCGAAGGCGGCUUACUGGACUGUAACUGACGUUGAGGCUCGAAAGCGUGGGGAGCAAACAGGAUUAGAUACCCUGGUAGUCCACGCCGUAAACGAUGAUUACUAGGUGUCGGUGGGCAUGGGCCCAUCGGUGCCGCAGCCAACGCAAUAAGUAAUCCACCUGGGGAGUACGUUCGCAAGA